RNAcentral lists this ribosomal RNA (253 nucleotides) under uncultured bacterium. RNAcentral's name for it is "partial 16S ribosomal RNA". It matches the Rfam family "Bacterial small subunit ribosomal RNA", at positions 524 to 776 of the family's 1533-position model. The record is from RNAcentral.
UACAGAGGUGCCAAGCGUUAGGCGGAAUCACUGGGCUUAAAGCGCGUGUAGGUGGAUGGGUAAGUACCUUGUGAAAUCCCAUGGCUCAACCAUGGAAGUGCACUCGAAACUGCAGGGCUAGAGUCCUGGAGAGGAAGGUGGAAUGCUUGGUGUAGAGGUGAAAUUCGUAGAUAUCAAGCGGAACACCGGUGGCGAAGGCGGCCUUCUGGACAGUGACUGACGCUGAGACGCGAAAGCGUGGGGAGCAAACAGG